Long non-coding RNA from Hemicordylus capensis (graceful crag lizard), 798 nucleotides. RefSeq lists it as uncharacterized. The transcript has 5 exons. The record is from RefSeq and is a predicted model, not a curated record. Lineage: Eukaryota; Metazoa; Chordata; Lepidosauria; Squamata; Cordylidae.
CUCAACUCCAGUUCAAGGGAAGGCUGCCUCCAUUAGGAUUUAAUGGAAAAGACUUGAGCUGCGAUUCUCACUUCAAACCAAGGAUUCAAAUCGGAGUUUGAUGGGGAAAAGGUUGAAACAACAGAGAAAAACAUGAAAAGCCAUAUUAAAUAACAGAAAGAUGACAUUCUCGAUGCAGCCUGUCACUCAAGGAAAUACCACACAUAGAAGAAUACCCAAGAUUAAAUGGACCAGCAGAACAACAAAUGAAGUACUUUGAGAAGCAAAAACACAUAAGCAAAUAAUACAGACAAUCAAAAGACGUAAACUGGCGUAUUAUGGACAUAUCCUCAGUGGAGUAAAUUAUCAAAUACCACAACUAAUGCUAGAAGGAAAGCUAGCAGGGGAAAAGAUCAAGAGGAAAGAGGAAGAAAGGAUGAAUGGGUGACCUGAAAGAAUGGCUAGAACUGGACACAGAAGAUAUCCACAAGUCUAGGGAACAUGAUCGAUGGUUUUUGCUGGCUGUCAACCCCCCAACUGGCAAAGGAGGAGAGAACCCCUUUGGCCUUCCAGCAGAGAAAAUCAUCAUCAUCAUCGUCAUCAUCAUCCCCCAGUGAGGCACUACCUUCGCGUGGUUGUGGGACUUGCGUGCUCUGAGGAAGGAAAACAUGCUUGCAAAUAGAAAAGAGAGAAGUAACAGUAACUACGACAAUAACAUCAGUACUAAAUUCCCUAGUUUCACCCUCAAAAGGUUUACAACUUUAAGACAAUUUAAUGUAAGCUACUAUGCAUUAUCAAAAUAAAUGUCUAUCAUAUAUA